UGCGGGGGCACCUGCACCUCGCUGGGUUUGAUGUUGUCGAUCAUGCUGUCCGCCCACGGGGUCCUCCAGCGGCACGUGCACAGGCCUACGGCCCACACCUUCGUCUUGGAGUUUCUGGGCACCUUCCAGCUCUGCUUCUGCACCCUUGAGCUGCAACUGCUGGGAGAGCAGGAACCCGCACACCCCACCUGGCCGCUGACGCUAACCUACUUCUUCUCGUUGGUGCAUGACCUGACUCUGUUGGGCACGGCCAGUAACCCGUGCAGUGUGAUGAUGCAGAAGAUGCUGGGGGGAAUGUCCCCCGAGACAGGGGAGGUGAGGCUGUUGGCUCAGCUGAUGGCUGCCCUGGGCAGCAGGUACUGUAUAGGCGCCCUGUAGAGCCUGGGACUGACCAGGUCUCACGUCGGUGAGAGGAGCUCCGUUUGCAGGACCCCCAUGCACGUCGACUUGCCCAAAGCCAUCGUCGUAGAGGCCAUCUGCUCCUUCAUCUUCCACAGUGCCCUGCUGCACUUCCAGGAGGUCGGAACCAAGCUUCGUAUCCACAUGCUGGCAGCACUCAUCACCUUUUUGGUCUAUGCAGAAGGAAGUCUAAGAGGAGCUAUAUUUAAUCCAGCUUUGGCACUUUCACUACAUUUCAAAUGUUUCGAUGAAGAUUUCUUUCAAUUUUUUAUAGUAUAUUGGCUGGCUCCUUCUUUAGGUAUAUUGUUGAUGAUUUUGACAUUUAGCUUGUUCCUUCCAUGGCUGUAUAACAACCAUACAACUAAUAAGAAGGAGUAACUGUUCCAAAAGACUCAGAUUAAGUCACAAAACAGUCUAGUUGGACGUGAUAAAGACUUUGUCUCCUCAGAUUCAGCACACUGGCUGCACUGGAUUCAUCAAUGUCACUUCCUUUGAGGAAGCUGCCUUAGUUUUCAUCACUGGGACUUAAAAAAUUACUAUGAAAAUGAGGCAUCCUGCAUUUCUCAGUUAAGACUUGUUCUUUUGAGUGUGUAUUAAAUGCUGCUAGCAGAGACUCACUAA
Molecule: RNA transcript, 1020 nt
Organism: Myotis davidii
Lineage: Eukaryota; Metazoa; Chordata; Mammalia; Chiroptera; Vespertilionidae
Gene name: aquaporin-11 pseudogene
Exons: 1
Source: RefSeq, a predicted model, not a curated record